RNAcentral lists this ribosomal RNA (496 nucleotides) under uncultured bacterium. Its description in RNAcentral is "partial 16S ribosomal RNA". It matches the Rfam family "Bacterial small subunit ribosomal RNA", at positions 29 to 507 of the family's 1533-position model. The record is from RNAcentral.
AUGCACGCUGGCGGCGUGCCUAAUACAUGCAAGUCGAGCGAACGGACGAGAAGCUUGCUUCUCUGAUGUUAGCGGCGGACGGGUGAGUAACACGUGGAUAACCUACCUAUAAGACUGGGAUAACUUCGGGAAACCGUAGCUAAUACCGGAUAAUAUUUUGAACCGCCUGGUUCAAAAGUGAAAGACGGUCUUGCUGUCACUUAUAGAUGGAUCCGCGCUGCAUUAGCUAGUUGGUAAGGUAACGGCUUACCAAGGCAACGAUGCAUAGCCGACCUGAGAGGGUGAUCGGCCACACUGGAACUGAGACACGGUCCAGACUCCUACGGGAGGCAGCAGUAGGGAAUCUUCCGCAAUGGGCGAAAGCCUGACGGAGCAACGCCGCGUGAGUGAUGAAGGUCUUCGGAUCGUAAAACUCUGUUAUUAGGGAAGAACAUAUGUGUAAGUAACUGUGCACAUCUUGACGGUACCUAAUCAGAAAGCCACGGCUAACUACGUG